GACGAACGCUGGCGGCGUGCUUAACACAUGCAAGUCGAACGGAAAGGCCCUGCUUUUGUGGGGUGCUCGAGUGGCGAACGGGUGAGUAACACGUGAGUAACCUGCCCUUGACUUUGGGAUAACUUCAGGAAACUGGGGCUAAUACCGGAUAGGAGCUCCUGCUGCAUGGUGGGGGUUGGAAAGUUUCGGCGGCUGGGGAUGGACUCGCGGCUUAUCAGCUUGUUGGUGGGGUAGUGGCUUACCAAGGCUUUGACGGGUAGCCGGCCUGAGAGGGUGACCGGCCACAUGGGGACUGAGAUACGGCCCAGACUCCUACGGGAGGCAGCAGUGGGGAAUAUUGCACAAUGGGCGGAAGCCUGAUGCAGCAUCGCCGCGUGCGGGAUGACGGCCUUCGGGUUGUAAACCGCUUUCGCCUGUGACGAAGCGUGAGGGACGGUAAUGGGUAAAGAAGCACCGGCUAACUACGU
This 467-nucleotide ribosomal RNA is filed under the name uncultured bacterium. RNAcentral's name for it is "partial 16S ribosomal RNA". It matches the Rfam family "Bacterial small subunit ribosomal RNA", at positions 28 to 506 of the family's 1533-position model. The record is from RNAcentral.